UUCUCAAACAUGCUCCUUCAAUCAAUUCUUAAAACCCUAAUUUCAAUUUCAUACAAGCAUGGCAGACGAUCAUGUAAACCCUAGCCUCGCUCACAUUCAUCGCUCUACUGCUAUCAUCAUCAUCUUCUACAAAUGAUUCAACAAAUAGGUACACUAUUUGACAAACCCUAGGUAUCAACACGCCUGUUCUUCUUCUACGUUGAUUCAUCAUCCAGAAUUUAUCGGUAUUGUCUUUGUCCAUCCAUUUUUACAGCCUGAUGUAUGGGUUAAGUUUCAUUUAAUUAGGGUUUAUUUUCUGUGAAGCCUUGGAUUGAGAUCGAGUUUUGCUUUUCAAUCGAUUAUACACUCCAAAUGCUUAGGGUUUUUCAAUUCCUCAUUUCCAUUUUACAUUGCAGCGGCCUGUUCUUCUCCAUCUUCAAAUCUUUGAUCUUCAUAUGCAUAUACAAAAUUGAACAAGAUCCUAUCCUCUUCCAUAGACUAUCACCAUUUUUACAGUGGUGGUUUUCUUGAUUAUUCUUUUUCAACUGGAUUAUCGGAUUUUUUUUGCAACAAUUACUUUCUAGGGUUUGAAUUGACGAAUCUGAAUUUGGAUAUCCGAUUAGUUAGGGUCUAAUGUAUAGGGUUUCAAUGUUUUUUAUUCCAUUAUUGAUUCUUUUUUUUUUAUGGAUAUUCAUAUGUAUUUUUUUGUGGCUGGCUAGAUUCUUCAAUUGUUGAUGCAACUCUAAUUGAAGGUGUGAGUGAUUUGUUAUUUUUUAUUAUUAUACUAUUCGAGGAUAAUGUUGAUGCUUUUUGGUGCUUUGAGAUGUUUCUAGGAAGAAUUGUAUUGUUGUGCAUUCUUUGAAGCUUUGCAGAAAAAAUAAGUAGAAUCGGUUAGAAAGAGAGGACAGAGGACAAGAAAGAUUAUGGUAGCACACAUCCGGCGGUGGUGGGCGUGCAAGAAGAACAGAGGCGCCGACUGACGCUUCUUACCAGAUUAGGGUUCCUGUUGAUAUCCGGUCAAGCUCUUUCGUCUUGCAGGUCUGAUCUUAGAGGUGAUGCUGACUACUGAUGAAAGUGGUCAACCUGACCUAACUUUUAGUCAACCUGACCCAACUUUACAUGGUACCCAACCUGAUCAUUUUGGUUUUGUGGACAUGCAGCCUUGUGAGUCAACCUGACCCAACUUCACAUGGUACCAAGUUUCUUAUUUCAUAAGUAAAUUUAAAAUUUAAUGUGGGAUUUGGUUUGAGUUUCUCUAAGAGUACCGACAAUUCAUCUACUGAUGUUUUUGUACUUAGGCUUGGUUGAUGCUUCUAGGGCACUUCCUCUUUAAUUUGAGUUUUGGUGUUAUAAACGUAUGAAGGUAUUAAUUAUAAGUACUUGCAAAGAACACAAUUAUUGAAUUUUGUUAAUCUAGAUAAGUAAAUAUGUGUAUGCAGUUUCAUGACAAUUAUAUAAGCUUCAUCUAUUUGUAGGUACUUACUUGAACUAGCUUUGCCCUUUCGCAUUUGACAAGAUGUUUUCAGCCUAUUUUAAAUAUGUGGUGGGUCAACAAUUUCAAUUUUUUUUGAAAAACUUAGUCAACCUGACCCAACUUUACACAGUACCCAACCCGAUCAUUUUGGUUUUGUGGACAUGCAACCUUGUGAGUCAACCUGACCCAACUUUACACGGUACCAAGUUUCUUAUUUCAUAAGUAAAUUUAAAAUUUAAUGUGGGAUUCGGUUUGAGUUUUUCUAAGAGUACUGACAAUUCAUCUACUGAUCUUUUUUUGUACUUAGGCUUGGCUGAUGCUUCUAGGGCACUUCCUCUUUAAUUUGAGUUUUGGUGUUAUAAAUGUACGAAGGUAUUAAUUAUAAGUACUUGCAAAGAACACAUUUAUUGAGUUUUGUUAAUCUAGAUAAGUAAAUAUGUGUAUGCAGUUUCAUGACAAUUAUAUAAGCUUCAUCUAUUUGUACGUACUUGCUCGAAGUAGCUUUGCCCUUUUGUAUUUGGAAGAGCCGAAACAACCCAGGUUUGUUUUGUUGUGUAGUGGAUUAAAGUGGGUUUGGUUGAAACAAGCCAGUGUAAGUAAAUUUGUAUUACAACAAAUGGAAGGGGAAAAAUUGAAAAAAAUAAUAUGUUUUACAAGUAGAUGCAGGUGAAGUCAUUACAAUUUUGGAAACUCACAAGGCACCGAUCCAAGUAGUAAGGAGUUUACAUACCGGUGAAGUCAUUACAGGUUUAAAUGUAUCUUACUCAUUAAAUUACAAUUUUGGAUUUGUUUUUUGGUGUUUCAUUAAUCCUCCAUUUCUUUACCAUCUAUUUAUGUUUUCUAUUGUUUGUCGUCUUUCCAUUAUCCCAAUCCUUCGUAUUUAGGUCCCAAUUUAUUGUCUUUUGUCGCUUCUUUAUUCUAAAUAAUAUGUACAGGGGACCAUGUUUGUGAAUGGAAGUUUCUAUGACCAAGCUGGCUACACUUAUGAAUGGAGUUGUUUGAUAUAAUUGUCAUCCAGGUUCAAGCGACAACACAAUAAACUUUGAAGGGAAGCACGUGUACGCAAACUUUUUUCUAUUCAUACAGGUUGACAUUUAACUUAAUGCUCGUGGUGGUGGAUUUGAAGAUGAAACUACUAGACCAGAGAGUUUAUAGUUUAUGACAACAUGUGAUGAAUUAAUGUCAAAAGUCUUCUCAUUCUUGGUGCGACAACUGGUCUUUUGAUCUUGACGAUGCCAUGCUCCGAUGGUCAUCACCACGGUGGUAAGAUAAUAACCUAUUUGUAGGUGGGGUUGCAUAUUCAUCUAUUUCAAUUUGUCGUUGUAAUCUAAUUUAUUUUGUUUGUGUUUUAACGUGUAUAAAAGUAUAAUAUUUAAUGUCAGCGGUAUUAAUGAAGAAAUUUCUUUUA
Molecule: long non-coding RNA, 2861 nt
Organism: Helianthus annuus (common sunflower)
Lineage: Eukaryota; Viridiplantae; Streptophyta; Magnoliopsida; Asterales; Asteraceae
Exons: 3
Source: RefSeq, a predicted model, not a curated record